RNAcentral lists this ribosomal RNA (445 nucleotides) under uncultured bacterium. RNAcentral describes it as "partial 16S ribosomal RNA". It matches the Rfam family "Bacterial small subunit ribosomal RNA", at positions 354 to 796 of the family's 1533-position model. The record is from RNAcentral.
GUGAGGAAUAUUGGUCAAUGGACGAGAGUCUGAACCAGCCAAGUCGCGUGAAGGAAGACGGUUCUAUGAAUUGUAAACUUCUUUUGUGCAGGAAUAAAGUGGGUUACGUGUAACCUUUUGUAUGUACUGUACGAAUAAGGAUCGGCUAACUCCGUGCCAGCAGCCGCGGUAAUACGGAGGAUCCGAGCGUUAUCCGGAUUUAUUGGGUUUAAAGGGUGCGUAGGUGGAUUGAUAAGUCAGCGGUGAAAGUUUGCAGCUUAACUGUAAAAUUGCCGUUGAAACGGUCGGUCUUGAGUGCAAAUGAGGUAGGCGGAAUGUGUUGUGUAGCGGUGAAAUGCUUAGAUAUAACACAGAACUCCGAUUGCGAAGGCAGCUUACUGGGAUGCAACUGACACUGAUGCACGAAAGCGUGGGUAUCAAACAGGAUUAGAUACCCCUGUAGUCC